This 536-nucleotide ribosomal RNA is filed under the name uncultured Fischerella sp. RNAcentral's name for it is "bacterial SSU rRNA". It matches the Rfam family "Bacterial small subunit ribosomal RNA", at positions 195 to 749 of the family's 1533-position model. The record is from RNAcentral. Lineage: Bacteria; Bacillati; Cyanobacteriota; Cyanophyceae; Nostocales; Hapalosiphonaceae.
GAGAGGUGAAAGGCUAGCCGCCUGAAGAAGAGCUCGCGUCUGAUUAGCUAGUUGGUGGUGUAAGGGACUACCAAGGCGACGAUCAGUAGCUGGUCUGAGAGGAUGAUCAGCCACACUGGAACUGAGACACGGUCCAGACUCCUACGGGAGGCAGCAGUGGGGAAUUUUCCGCAAUGGGCGAAAGCCUGACGGAGCAAUACCGCGUGAGGGAGGAAGGCUCUUGGGUUGUAAACCUCUUUUCUCAAGGAAGAAGUUCUGACGGUACUUGAGGAAUCAGCAUCGGCUAACUCCGUGCCAGCAGCCGCGGUAAUACGGAGGAUGCAAGCGUUAUCCGGAAUGAUUGGGCGUAAAGCGUCCGCAGGUGGUUGUGUGUGUCUAUUGUCAAAGCAUCAUGCUUAACAUGAUAAAGGCAGUAGAAACUACACGACUAGAGUGCGUUCGGGGCAGAGGGAAUUCCUGGUGUAGCGGUGAAAUGCGUAGAGAUCAGGAAGAACACCGGUGGCGAAAGCGCUCUGCUAGGCCGCAACUGACACUGA